RNAcentral lists this ribosomal RNA (656 nucleotides) under Celeribacter sp. Its description in RNAcentral is "bacterial SSU rRNA". It matches the Rfam family "Bacterial small subunit ribosomal RNA", at positions 111 to 803 of the family's 1533-position model. Lineage: Bacteria; Pseudomonadati; Pseudomonadota; Alphaproteobacteria; Rhodobacterales; Roseobacteraceae. The record is from RNAcentral.
UAACGCGUGGGAACGUACCCUUCACUACGGAAUAGUCCCGGGAAACUGGGUUUAAUACCGUAUACGCCCUUCGGGGGAAAGAAUUUCGGUGAGGGAUCGGCCCGCGUUAGAUUAGUUAGUUGGUGGGGUAAUGGCCUACCAAGACUACGAUCUAUAGCUGGUUUGAGAGGAUGAUCAGCAACACUGGGACUGAGACACGGCCCAGACUCCUACGGGAGGCAGCAGUGGGGAAUCUUAGACAAUGGGGGCAACCCUGAUCUAGCGAUGCCGCGUGAGUGAUGAAGGCCUUAGGGUCGUAAAGCUCUUUCGCCUGUGAUGAUAAUGACAGUAGCAGGUAAAGAAACCCCGGCUAACUCCGUGCCAGCAGCCGCGGUAAUACGGAGGGGGUUAGCGUUGUUCGGAAUUACUGGGCGUAAAGCGCACGUAGGCGGAUUAGUCAGUCAGAGGUGAAAUCCCAGGGCUCAACCCUGGAACUGCCUUUGAUACUGCUAGUCUUGAGUUCGAGAGAGGUAAGUGGAAUUCCGAGUGUAGAGGUGAAAUUCGUAGAUAUUCGGAGGAACACCAGUGGCGAAGGCGGCUUACUGGCUCGAUACUGACGCUGAGGUGCGAAAGUGUGGGGAGCAAACAGGAUUAGAUACCCUGGUAGUCCACACCGU